AGUGGGGAAUAUUGGACAAUGGGCGAAAGCCUGAUCCAGCCAUGCCGCGUGUGUGAAGAAGGUCUUCGGAUUGUAAAGCACUUUAAGUUGGGAGGAAGGGCAGUAAAUUAAUACCUUGCUGUUUUGACGUUACCGACAGAAUAAGCACCGGCUAACUCUGUGCCAGCAGCCGCGGUAAUACGGAGGGUGCAAGCGUUAAUCGGAAUUACUGGGCGUAAAGCGCGCGUAGGUGGUUUGUUAAGUUGAAUGUGAAAUCUCCGGGCUCAACCUGGGAACUG
RNAcentral lists this ribosomal RNA (278 nucleotides) under Chaetoceros curvisetus. RNAcentral describes it as "partial Bacterial small subunit ribosomal RNA". It matches the Rfam family "Bacterial small subunit ribosomal RNA", at positions 353 to 623 of the family's 1533-position model. Lineage: Eukaryota; Bacillariophyta; Thalassiosirophyceae; Chaetocerotales; Chaetocerotaceae. The record is from RNAcentral.